UACGUAGGGUGCGAGCGUUGUCCGGAAUUAUUGGGCGUAAAGGGCUCGUAGGCGGUUUGUCGCGUCGGGAGUGAAAUCCACUGGCUUAACUGGUGGCUUGCUUUCGAUACGGGCAGACUAGAGGUAUGCAGGGGAGAACGGAAUUCCUGGUGUAGCGGUGAAAUGCGCAGAUAUCAGGAGGAACACCGGUGGCGAAGGCGGUUCUCUGGGCAUUACCUGACGCUGAGGAGCGAAAGUGUGGGGAGCGAACAGG
This 253-nucleotide ribosomal RNA is filed under the name uncultured bacterium. Its description in RNAcentral is "partial 16S ribosomal RNA". It matches the Rfam family "Bacterial small subunit ribosomal RNA", at positions 524 to 776 of the family's 1533-position model. The record is from RNAcentral.